GAUGAACGCUGGCGGCGUGCCUAAUACAUGCAAGUCGAACGAACAGACGAGGAGCUUGCUCCUCUGACGUUAGCGGCGGACGGGUGAGUAACACGUGGAUAACCUACCUAUAAGACUGGGAUAACUUCGGGAAACCGGAGCUAAUACCGGAGAAUAUAUUGAACCGCAUGGUUCAAUAGUGAAAGACGGUUUUGCUGUCACUUAUAGAUGGAUCCGCGCCGCAUUAGCUAGUUGGUAAGGUAACGGCUUACCAAGGCAACGAUGCGUAGCCGACCUGAGAGGGUGAUCGGCCACACUGGAACUGGGACACGGUCCAGACUCCUACGGGAGGCAGCAGUAGGGAAUCUUCCGCAAUAGGCGAAAGCCUGACGGAGCAGCGCCGCGUGAGUGAUGAAGGUCUUCGGAUCGUAAAACUCUGUUAUUAGGGAAGAACAAAUGUGUAAGUAACUAUGCACGUCUUGACGGUACCUAAUCAGAAAGCCCCGGCUAACUACGUG
This 497-nucleotide ribosomal RNA is filed under the name uncultured bacterium. Its description in RNAcentral is "partial 16S ribosomal RNA". It matches the Rfam family "Bacterial small subunit ribosomal RNA", at positions 28 to 507 of the family's 1533-position model. The record is from RNAcentral.